AUAUAUGUUCAAAUAUAGUUAUAAUUAUAAUAUAUAAUUAAAAUGUAAAAAUAUCGACUUGUAUUUAAUUAAUUUUAAUCAUUUCUUAUUAAUAAUUAUUAUCAAACACACGAUUUUUAUCUCCAUCUCUAUAAAUACAAUAUAAUAUUUCGUAUAUUAUGUCUCAACCGAACAAUAUAUUAAUUUAAAAUGUGAUACACACCUAUUUGAAUAUUAAUUAUUAUUAAUCAGUGGCGGCUCGUACUAUAUGGCACACAGAAGCAAUGCACCACCUAUAAUUUUAAUAACUAUAAUGCAUCAUUUUGGGAACUGAUUAUUUCUUUUGAAUAAUAUUAAAUUUGUGCAAAGUGCGGUAAUAUCUCCAAAAAUACUCUAAAGAAAAUACUGACCAACCUGGUUAACAUUCAAUUCCUCAAUAAUAAUACAACGAAAACAAACGUAAUUCUUUAAUAUAUUGUAGAUUUCUAUCUAAGAACCUCCUAUAUAAAAUAAAUACAAAUGUAUUCAUAUUUCAAUAAAAUAUUUGUUUUAGUUCCUGUUUUCUGAAAAGACUAUACUUAUUGUAAAACAUUUUUUAAAUUUGCACCACCAAUUAUUUUACCCAUAAGCCACCCCUGGUAUUAAUGGUACGUUAUUUUAUAAUAAAUAUAUAUUGAAUUUAUAUAGUUUAAAAAUGUACAAUUAAUUAGAGUAUACGAGUGAAAUAUUUUUUUUUAAUGUUUAAAAAUAACCUAUAAUAUAUUAUAACUUAAUAUUAUUAGAUUCAGCGAUUCUCUCUUUCUCCUUUCCUUCCUCCCUCUAAUAACCUGUUUUUUUUUCCAUUUGCAAUCUUUAUGAGGAUUUAAAAAUGACAUCUCUAAUCGUGUUAUACCCACCACCAUGACGAAAACAAACGCUGCAGUAUUAAAAUACAUUAUUUAACAUUAUAAAUUAAGUAAUGAGAAAAUUCCGUUUAAAUUAAAAUAAAUAUAUAAUAAAGGCGUGAAAUAGUAUUAAAUUAAUUACCGUGUACAGCAUAACGAACAGGUAUAAUCUUCAAAAAAUGCAAAAUCAUCCAUUAAACAUGGUAUACGAC
Non-coding RNA from Cinara cedri, 1075 nucleotides. The record is from the annotation of a GenBank genome assembly. Lineage: Eukaryota; Metazoa; Arthropoda; Insecta; Hemiptera; Aphididae.